UUUUCUUCCAGAUUUAAUACUACUCUAGUGUUCUCUGUUUUCUCCUCCAGAUCCAUUAUUUAUUCUUCUCCAUCUUGUUCUGUGUUCCUGGAAGCCAACCUUUAUAAGCUGCAGGAAAUGGAUUUCCUACUCUCCACCUUCUGAUUGGGCUUGACCAACGGGGAGCACUGGCAGAAGACAAGCAUGGGAGGAAAAAGAGAUCAGGGCUGGAGUGCA
Molecule: long non-coding RNA, 216 nt
Filed under: Homo sapiens (human)
Lineage: Eukaryota; Metazoa; Chordata; Mammalia; Primates; Hominidae
Description: long non-coding RNA NONHSAT148784.1
Source: RNAcentral